This 1310-nucleotide ribosomal RNA is filed under the name uncultured Helicobacter sp. RNAcentral describes it as "bacterial SSU rRNA". It matches the Rfam family "Bacterial small subunit ribosomal RNA", at positions 103 to 1440 of the family's 1533-position model. The record is from RNAcentral. Lineage: Bacteria; Pseudomonadati; Campylobacterota; Epsilonproteobacteria; Campylobacterales; Helicobacteraceae.
CGGGUGAGUAACGCAUAGGUUAUGUGCCUCUUAGUUUGGGAUAGCCAUUGGAAACGAUGAUUAAUACCAGAUACUCCCUACGGGGGAAAGAUUUAUCGCUAAGAGAUCAGCCUAUGUCCUAUCAGCUUGUUGGUAAGGUAAUGGCUUACCAAGGCUAUGACGGGUAUCCGGCCUGAGAGGGUGAACGGACACACUGGAACUGAGACACGGUCCAGACUCCUACGGGAGGCAGCAGUAGGGAAUAUUGCUCAAUGGGGGAAACCCUGAAGCAGCAACGCCGCGUGGAGGAUGAAGGUUUUAGGAUUGUAAACUCCUUUUGUUAGAGAAGAUAAUGACGGUAUCUAACGAAUAAGCACCGGCUAACUCCGUGCCAGCAGCCGCGGUAAUACGGAGGGUGCAAGCGUUACUCGGAAUCACUGGGCGUAAAGAGCGCGUAGGCGGGAUAGUCAGUCAGGUGUGAAAUCCUAUGGCUUAACCAUAGAACUGCAUUUGAAACUACUAUUCUAGAGUGUGGGAGAGGUAGGUGGAAUUCUUGGUGUAGGGGUAAAAUCCGUAGAGAUCAAGAGGAAUACUCAUUGCGAAGGCGACCUGCUGGAACAUUACUGACGCUGAUUGCGCGAAAGCGUGGGGAGCAAACAGGAUUAGAUACCCUGGUAGUCCACGCCCUAAACGAUGGAUGCUAGUUGUUGGAGGGCUUAGUCUCUCCAGUAAUGCAGCUAACGCAUUAAGCAUCCCGCCUGGGGAGUACGGUCGCAAGAUUAAAACUCAAAGGAAUAGACGGGGACCCGCACAAGCGGUGGAGCAUGUGGUUUAAUUCGAAGAUACACGAAGAACCUUACCUAGGCUUGACAUUGAGAGAAUCCGCUAGAAAUAGUGGAGUGUCUAGCUUGCUAGACCUUGAAAACAGGUGCUGCACGGCUGUCGUCAGCUCGUGUCGUGAGAUGUUGGGUUAAGUCCCGCAACGAGCGCAACCCCCUUUCUUAGUUGCUAACAGGUUAUGCUGAGAACUCUAAGGAUACUGCCUCCGUAAGGAGGAGGAAGGUGGGGACGACGUCAAGUCAUCAUGGCCCUUACGCCUAGGGCUACACACGUGCUACAAUGGGGUGCACAAAGAGAAGCAAUACUGCGAAGUGGAGCCAAUCUUCAAAACGCCUCUCAGUUCGGAUUGUAGGCUGCAACUCGCUUGCAUGAAGCUGGAAUCGCUAGUAAUCGCAAAUCAGCCAUGUUGCGGUGAAUACGUUCCCGGGUCUUGUCAUCACGGCCCGUCACACCAUGGGAGUUGUGCUSUGCCUUAAUGUCAUGAUGCAAAC